CUAGCAUAUCAAUAAGCGGAGGAAAAGAAACCAACAGGGAUUGCCCCAGUAACGGCGAGUGAAGCGGCAACAGCUCAAAUUUGAAAUCUGGCCCCCAGGGUCCGAGUUGUAAUUUGCAGAGGAUGCUUUUGGCAAGGUGCCUUCCGAGUUCCCUGGAACGGGACGCCAUAGAGGGUGAGAGCCCCGUCUGGUUGGAUACCGAGCCUCUGUAAAGCUCCUUCGACGAGUCGAGUAGUUUGGGAAUGCUGCUCUAAAUGGGAGGUAUAUGUCUUCUAAAGCUAAAUAUUGGCCAGAGACCGAUAGCGCACAAGUAGAGUGAUCGAAAGAUGAAAAGCACUUUGAAAAGAGGGUUAAAUAGUACGUGAAAUUGUUGAAAGGGAAGCGCUCAUGACCAGACUUGGGCCCGGUGAAUCAUCCAGCGCUCGUCGCUGGUGCACUUUGCCGGGCUCAGGCCAGCAUCAGUUCGCUCCGGGGGACAAAGGCUCUGGGAAUGUGGCUCCUCCGGGAGUGUUAUAGCCCACUGCGCAAUACCCUGGGGCGGACUGAGGUUCGCGCAUUCGUGCAAGGAUGCUGGCGUAAUGGUCAUCAGUGACCCGUCUUGAAACACGGACCAAGGAGUCGUCUUCGUAUGCAAGUGUUCGGGUGUAAAACCCCUACGCGUAAUGAAAGUGAACGCAGGUGAGAGCUUCGGCGCAUCAUCGACCGAUCCUGAUGUUCUCGGAUGGAUUUGAGUAAGAGCAUACGGGGCCGGACCCGAAAGAAGGUGAACUAUGCCUGUAUAGGGUGAAGCCAGAGGAAACUCUGGUGGAGGCUCGCAGCGGUUCUGACGUGCAAAUCGAUCGUCAAAUAUGGGCAUGGGGGGCGAAAGACUAAUCGAACCUUCUAGUAGCUGGUUUCCGCCGA
RNAcentral lists this ribosomal RNA (903 nucleotides) under Keithomyces carneus. RNAcentral's name for it is "partial large subunit ribosomal RNA". It matches the Rfam family "Eukaryotic large subunit ribosomal RNA", at positions 34 to 964 of the family's 3401-position model. Lineage: Eukaryota; Fungi; Ascomycota; Sordariomycetes; Hypocreales; Clavicipitaceae. The record is from RNAcentral.